Molecule: ribosomal RNA, 437 nt
Filed under: uncultured bacterium
Lineage: Bacteria
Description: bacterial SSU rRNA
Rfam family: Bacterial small subunit ribosomal RNA
Source: RNAcentral
AGAGUUUGAUCCUGGCUCAGAACGAACGCUGGCGGCAGGCUUAACACAUGCAAGUCGAACGCCCGAGCAAUCGGGAGUGGCAGACGGGUGAGUAACACGUGGGAACAUACCCUUCGGUUCGGAACAACGUUUGGAAACGAACGCUAAUACCGGAUACGGCUUGAGGGCGAAAGAUUCAUCGCCGAAGGAUUGGCCCGCGUUCGAAUUAGCUAGAUGGCGGGGUAACGGCCCACCAUGGCGACGAUCGAUAGCUGGUCUGAGAGGAUGGCCAGCCACAUUGGGACUGAGACACGGCCCAAACUCCUACGGGAGGCAGCAGUGGGGAAUAUUGGACAAUGGGCGCAAGCCUGAUCCAGCCAUGCCGCGUGAGUGAUGACGGCCUUAGGGUAGUACAGCUCUUUCGCACGCGACGAUAAUGACGGUAGCGUGAGAAGAAG